AGAGCUUGCAUGGCAUUGUUCUAGAUCCUAGAGACACAUACAAAGAUCCUGCUGCUGUGGACAUGAGCCACAAUUGUCUGCUGCCUCUUUUUUUUUUUUCUCUUUACGUUGACGAUCACAGAACUGCAUUUGUCAUAUUGUGAAGGACCGGAGAACAGAGGAAAUAAGUUACCCUGAGGUAGGAGGUAUAAGCUGGAAGAUUAGACAUGAAAUCAAACUCCCUCAGAAUCAGCAUUGG
Molecule: non-coding RNA, 238 nt
Organism: Delphinapterus leucas (beluga whale)
Lineage: Eukaryota; Metazoa; Chordata; Mammalia; Artiodactyla; Monodontidae
Source: RefSeq, a predicted model, not a curated record